RNAcentral lists this ribosomal RNA (253 nucleotides) under uncultured bacterium. Its description in RNAcentral is "partial 16S ribosomal RNA". It matches the Rfam family "Bacterial small subunit ribosomal RNA", at positions 524 to 776 of the family's 1533-position model. The record is from RNAcentral.
UACGUAGGGGGCAAGCGUUGUCCGGAAUCAUUGGGCGUAAAGAGCGUGUAGGCGGCCCGAUAAGUCCGCCGUGAAAGUCCAGGGCUCAACCCUGGAAUGCCGGUGGAAACUGUCGGGCUGGAGUCCGGAAGAGGCGAGUGGAAUUCCUGGUGUAGCGGUGAAAUGCGCAGAUAUCAGGAGGAACACCAAUGGCGAAGGCAGCUCGCUGGGACGGUACUGACGCUGAGGCGCGAAAGCGUGGGGAGCAAACAGG